UUUGAAGUUUAAUGUUGUUGUUUGUUGGUUAAAAUUAUGUUAGAGGGUGUCAUUUGAUGAUCUGGGUUGUCAAAACCUAGAUCCAUAUCAUCUAGAUGCUCGAAUUUAAAGAUUUAUCAAAUCUGGAAAUGUUGGAAAAAUUCGUCUGACAACCAUAUGUCAGACCUCAUAGAUCUCUCUAUGUUAGGUGUUAGUGGUGUUUGAUGUUAUAGAGUUGGUCUUUGUAGUAAGGGCUUUAAUUUGGGACUUGCAGAAAUCCCAUAUCAUGUUUAUAUUGCAAGAUAUGAUCGGUCAAAGUACGUUGACCAAGCAUGAAUUCUGGGAAUAUGGGCAAACCCAGAAACCCAGAACGCCUGACAACGAUUUUCGAGGGCUCAGAUCUUGCUUUGUUUAGAUAUAAAGGUCAUGUUUUUGUUUUGAUGUUAUAACCUGACAUAAGGUCUUCAUAAAAAUAUUAUUAUAUCACCUAGAACAUGUAUAAUUAUAAUUAAGAAAUAUUAAUUUUCAAUUUUGAAAACCUAAUUUGGAAAUUUUAGAAAUUAAAUUGCAAACCCUAAAUUUUUUCAAACCCUAAAUUUUCCAAACCCUAAACCCUAACCAAACCUUAAACCCUAAGGGUUUGGCUAAUGUCCAAAAUGCCCUUAAAAUUAAAGACACAAUGACAUUUUUGCCCUUUGUUGCAUUAUUGUGACUUAGCUUACAAGAGUUGGUCUAGUGAGUUGAUCAACCACCCUAGAUCAGCCACAUGCUACAAAUCUCAGCAGCCAUCCCAGCCAUAACAUUACACACAUCAAUAUAUAAGAGAUUUAGGAGAGAGAAAUCCUACUUUACUUCUCAUUAUUGCCAAGCCACUCUCUCUCAUCCAUUUCGAAAAUCUAGAGUGAGAGAGAUAGAAAAGUUAAGAUAUGAUAGCCUCUUAUCAAGCCAAGAACAACAAUCGGAAGUCAGAAAUCAAGAAUCAAAGCUCUAAAUGUAUAAAACCCCCCAAACCUAGAAAUCUUUUGAUUUGAAGUUUAAUGUUGUUGUUUGUUGGUUAAAAUUAUGUUAGAGGGUGUCAUUUGAUGAUCUGGGUUGUCAAAACCUAGAUCCAUAUCAUCUAGAUGCUCGAAUUUAAAGAUUUAUCAAAUCUGGAAAUGUUGGAAAAAUUCGUCUGACAACCAUAUGUCAGACCUCAUAGAUCUCUCUAUGUUAGGUGUUAGUGGUGUUUGAUGUUAUAGAGUUGGUCUUUGUAGUAAGGGCUUUAAUUUGGGACUUGCAGAAAUCCCAUAUCAUGUUUAUAUUGCAAG
This 1286-nucleotide long non-coding RNA is filed under the name Panax ginseng (ginseng). Its description in RNAcentral is "long non-coding RNA (PGIN_LNC010734)". Lineage: Eukaryota; Viridiplantae; Streptophyta; Magnoliopsida; Apiales; Araliaceae. The record is from RNAcentral.